Molecule: long non-coding RNA, 899 nt
Filed under: Homo sapiens (human)
Lineage: Eukaryota; Metazoa; Chordata; Mammalia; Primates; Hominidae
Description: non-protein coding lnc-AIDA-2:2
Source: RNAcentral
AUAUUUUUUGCCCUGGGCUUUGAGAUACUGCUUCAACUUGAGCUUUUGGGGAACUAAUUAGUGUUUCAACAAUGAAGAGACCAAGAUGAUUAAAAUUGUAAGUUGCCUAUGCAUGGAUUUAGAAAGCAAAAAAGGAGACCAAGGACUUAGCUUAAAGCUAUUCUUUCUAUAAACCUUGUCUGGCUCAAUCUCUUGUUCAUUCACCGCCUCCCCCACCAUGUUCCCUAAUAUUGAUAUACUAAGCUUACAGGGUCAAGUGUUGAAUUUGUGCUCUGCUCCUCCUUUUCCUCUUCCUCCUCCUCCUCUGUGCUAUAUUCUUCCAUGAUGUCUCCGUCAACAAAAUGGAUAAUCCUUUUAGGAGUAGUCUUUUUGGAAGGUACACUCUUCUCUAGGUCUAACUGCUGGAAACCGUCAAUCUCCAUAAUGAAACAAAACAACUAGAAAAUUAAAAACAGGGCACCUUAGGGCAAGUUACCCAGAGCUGAGAGUUAUCUAGUUAUUUUCAAUGGAUAGUAAAGACAGAGAACUCAGAGGUAAUCACACCUGUGACCUCAUCGAUUCCUCAAAUCCAAAAAAGGACUGUUCUAUUCUGUACCAAAAUGGAAGAGAUUUGAUAAAUAGCGAAAACGUGAACUUACAGUCUUCAAACAAAAGUGUCAACAGGGUUUUCUUACCUUUUGUUAACGUUAAAACACACAAUUGCUAGUAGGAAGGGGUCACUAUCCUGCAGACGUUUCUCAAUUAUUUCAAUAAAUAUUGAGAAGCAAUGAAGGAAAUGGUUAAGAGUACAGACUUCACACAGACAGGAGAAAACAUGUGCAAAGUAUAUAUUUGGUAAAGGACUUAUUUUCAGAACAUGUAAAGAGCGAUUACAAUUCAACAGGUAAAAGGCAAAUAAC